This 424-nucleotide ribosomal RNA is filed under the name uncultured prokaryote. Its description in RNAcentral is "bacterial SSU rRNA". It matches the Rfam family "Bacterial small subunit ribosomal RNA", at positions 355 to 796 of the family's 1533-position model. The record is from RNAcentral.
UAGGGAAUAUUGGACAAUGGGCGAAAGCCUGAUCCAGCCAUGCCGCGUGAGUGAUGAAGGCCCUAGGGUUGUAAAGCUCUUUCGCCGGUGAAGAUAAUGACGGUAACCGGUAAAGAAGCCCCGGCUAACUUCGUGCCAGCAGCCGCGGUAAUACGAAGGGGGCUAGCGUUGUUCGGAAUUACUGGGCGUAAAGCGCGCGUAGGCGGACACUUAAGUCAGGGGUGAAAUCCCGGGGCUCAACCUCGGAAUUGCCUCUGAUACUGGGUGUCUCGAGUCCGAGAGAGGUGAGUGGAACUCCGAGUGUAGAGGUGAAAUUCGUAGAUAUUCGGAAGAACACCAGUGGCGAAGGCGGCUCACUGGCUCGGUACUGACGCUGAGGUGCGAAAGCGUGGGGAGCAAACAGGAUUAGAUACCCCCGUAGUCC